GACGAACGCUGGCGGCGUGCCUAAUACAUGCAAGUCGAGCGAAGUUUUUCUGGUGCUUGCACUAGAAAAACUUAGCGGCGAACGGGUGAGUAACACGUAAAGAACCUGCCUCAUAGACUGGGACAACUAUUGGAAACGAUAGCUAAUACCGGAUAACAGUAUUUCUCGCAUGAGAGAUAUUUAAAAGUUGGUUAUGCUAACACUAUGAGAUGGCUUUGCGGUGCAUUAGCUAGUUGGUGGGGUAAAGGCCCACCAAGGCGACGAUGCAUAGCCGACCUGAGAGGGUGAUCGGCCACACUGGGACUGAGACACGGCCCAGACUCCUACGGGAGGCAGCAGUAGGGAAUCUUCCGCAAUGGGCGAAAGCCUGACGGAGCAACGCCGCGUGAGUGAGGAAGGAUUUCGGUUCGUAAAGCCCUGUUGUUAGGGAAGAAUGGAUAUGUAGUAACUAUACAUGUACGAG
RNAcentral lists this ribosomal RNA (463 nucleotides) under Gemella morbillorum. RNAcentral describes it as "bacterial SSU rRNA". It matches the Rfam family "Bacterial small subunit ribosomal RNA", at positions 28 to 476 of the family's 1533-position model. Lineage: Bacteria; Bacillati; Bacillota; Bacilli; Caryophanales; Gemellaceae. The record is from RNAcentral.